CAGUCGCCACGGUAAUACAGAGGGUGCAAGCGUUAAUCGGAAUUACUGGGCGUAAAGCGCGCGUAGGUGGUUUGUUAAGUUGGAUGUGAAAGCCCCGGGCUCAACCUGGGAACUGCAUCCAAAACUGGCAAGCUAGAGUACGGUAGAGGGUGGUGGAAUUUCCUGUGUAGCGGUGAAAUGCGUAGAUAUAGGAAGGAACACCAGUGGCGAAGGCGACCACCUGGACUGAUACUGACACUGAGGUGCGAAAGCGUGGGGAGCAAACAGGAUUAGAUACCCGGGUAGUCCCUGUCUCUUAUAC
This 301-nucleotide ribosomal RNA is filed under the name uncultured bacterium. Its description in RNAcentral is "partial 16S ribosomal RNA". It matches the Rfam family "Bacterial small subunit ribosomal RNA", at positions 509 to 807 of the family's 1533-position model. The record is from RNAcentral.